Non-coding RNA from Trichonephila clavipes, 68 nucleotides. The record is from the annotation of a GenBank genome assembly. Lineage: Eukaryota; Metazoa; Arthropoda; Arachnida; Araneae; Nephilidae.
ACCACUAUGGUGGUUACAAGACUCGGCUUGUAAUCGAGUGGGCUCGGGUUCGAAUCCCGACUAAGGUA